RNAcentral lists this long non-coding RNA (215 nucleotides) under Amborella trichopoda. Its description in RNAcentral is "long non-coding RNA (ATRI_LNC005395)". The record is from RNAcentral. Lineage: Eukaryota; Viridiplantae; Streptophyta; Magnoliopsida; Amborellales; Amborellaceae.
CCCUGUGAAUUUAUAUUUUUAUGGAAAAGUCUUCCCAACUCCUAUAGGCAGAAAUGAACAGUGAUUUCGCCUACCCUCAUCAUCGUCUGAAAUUCAUCGUACAGUCACGAUUGUCCGAUAAUGUUUUAUUUUUUAUUUUUUUUACAAAUUGGAAUGACCUACAAUAUGGAGGGUAUGUACAUCUUAGUGAGGCACAGCUAAUAAAAAUAUAAAAA